Molecule: long non-coding RNA, 711 nt
Organism: Homo sapiens (human)
Lineage: Eukaryota; Metazoa; Chordata; Mammalia; Primates; Hominidae
Source: Ensembl
CGCGACCCCUUUCGUGCUCCCUUGACAACCCUGGCCCCACCUCCACCUGGCGCCCACUCGAAUCCGCCCCUCCCUUCUACCCCCCUGGACCGCCAGACCCCCCGCUUCUGCACCCACUCCCGCCUUCGCCCUUCCCUCCUUCCUCCUCCUCCUCUGCUGCCGAGCGCCCUCUCUUCCCACUCCCUCUCUGUGUAGAAUCACAGGGAGUGACCUUGAGCCGAGAGGGCCUACCUCAUUUUACAGGAGAGGAAAUCCAGCUUCCAUUGAGUGAGACUCUUUUAUAAAUAACGUAAAAGAGUGUGUGAAACUGUGGAGGCAGGCUGUUGUAGAUAGGCGGUCGGAAAAGCUUUGAAGAGAUGGCAUGUGUGCUGAGUGCUUAAUUAGAAUAUGGAAGAGAGAGACAUGGGCCCUUCCUAUGUCCAGUUUUAGGAAAAGGCCCUAAAACUGGAGGUUUGGCAUGUUUCAAGAAUGGAAACAGAGGACAAAAACGUUCGAGUCCCCUCCCUGAGAUGCCUGAGGCUCGGACCCCACCAGGGAUGAAGGCUGCCGCCAGCGUGUGUUGCAGUUCCUGCGCCGCACAGAAGGGGGCGCCAUUCCUGCAUUAUUUCUCCCGACCUAACUCCGGUAACGCAGCUCCUAGUUGUAGGGCCUAUCUUAUAUUCGUUUUACAGUGUUUAUUUUUUUUCUUUUUUCUUUUCUUCUUUUCUUUUC